CCUACGGGAGGCAGCAGUAGGGAAUAUUGCUCAAUGGGGGAAACCCUGAAGCAGCAACGCCGCGUGGAGGAUGAAGGUUUUCGGAUUGUAAACUCCUUUUGUUAGAGAAGAGAAUGACGGUAUCUAACGAAUAAGCACUGGCUAACCCCGUGCCAGCAGCCGCGGUAAUACGGAGGGUGCAAGCGUUACUCGGAAUCACUGGGCGUAAGGAGCGCGUAGGCGGGAUAGCAAGUCAGAUGUGAAAUCCUAUGGCUUAACCAUAGAACUGCAUUUGAAACUGUUAUUCUAGAGUAUGGGAGAGGUAGGUGGAAUUCUUGGUGUAGGGGUAAAAUCCGUAGAGAUCAAGAGGAAUACUCAUUGCGAAGGCGACCUGCUAGAACAUAACUGACGCUGAUGCGCGAAAGCGUGGGGAGCAAACAGGAUUAGAUACCCCAGUAGUC
This 440-nucleotide ribosomal RNA is filed under the name uncultured bacterium. Its description in RNAcentral is "partial 16S ribosomal RNA". It matches the Rfam family "Bacterial small subunit ribosomal RNA", at positions 338 to 795 of the family's 1533-position model. The record is from RNAcentral.